This 429-nucleotide ribosomal RNA is filed under the name Chloroflexota bacterium. RNAcentral describes it as "Chloroflexi bacterium partial 16S ribosomal RNA". It matches the Rfam family "Bacterial small subunit ribosomal RNA", at positions 355 to 776 of the family's 1533-position model. The record is from RNAcentral. Lineage: Bacteria; Bacillati; Chloroflexota.
UGGGGAAUAUUGCACAAUGGGCGCAAGCCUGAUGCAGCCAUGCCGCGUGUGUGAAGAAGGCCUUCGGGUUGUAAAGCACUUUCAGCGGGGAGGAAGGCGAUAAGGUUAAUAACCUCAUCGAUUGACGUUACCCGCAGAAGAAGCACCGGCUAACUCCGUGCCAGCAGCCGCGGUAAUACGGAGGGUGCAAGCGUUAAUCGGAAUUACUGGGCGUAAAGCGCACGCAGGCGGUCUGUCAAGUCGGAGGUGAAAUCCCCGGGCUCAACCUGGGAACUGCAUUCGAAACUGGCAGGCUAGAGUCUUGUAGAGGGGGGUAGAAUUCCAGGUGUAGCGGUGAAAUGCGUAGAGAUCUGGAGGAAUACCGGUGGCGAAGGCGGCCCCCUGGACAAAGACUGACGCUCAGGUGUGAAAGCGUGGGGAGCAAACAGG